Molecule: regulatory RNA element, 36 nt
Organism: Fulvivirga imtechensis AK7
Lineage: Bacteria; Pseudomonadati; Bacteroidota; Cytophagia; Cytophagales; Fulvivirgaceae
Rfam family: DUF805b RNA
About the family: Bacteroidetes, Chlorobi (1 example), Proteobacteria. Lineage (Flavobacteria)
Source: Rfam
AAUGCGAUAACCCGAAAAGCAUAAACAGAGUAGGGA